RNAcentral lists this ribosomal RNA (460 nucleotides) under uncultured bacterium. RNAcentral's name for it is "partial 16S ribosomal RNA". It matches the Rfam family "Bacterial small subunit ribosomal RNA", at positions 338 to 795 of the family's 1533-position model. The record is from RNAcentral.
CCUACGGGAGGCAGCAGUGAGGAAUAUUGGUCAAUGGACGAGAGUCUGAACCAGCCAAGUAGCGUGGAGGAUGACUGCCCUAUGGGUUGUAAACUUCUUUUAUAUGGGAAUAAAAUGUUCCACGUGUGGGAUUUUGUAUGUACCAUAUAAAUAAGGAUCUGCUAACUCCGUGCGAGCCGCCGCGGUAAUACGGAGGAUCCGAGCGUUAUCCGGAUUUAUUGGGUUUAAAGGGAGCGUAGGUGGAUUGUUAAGUCAGUUGUGAAAGUUUGCGGCUCAACCGUAAAAUUGCAGUUGAAACUGGCAGUCUUGAGUACAGUAGAGGUGGGCGGAAUUCGUGGUGUAGCGGUGAAAUGCUUAGAUAUCACGAAGAACUCCGAUUGCGAAGGCAGUUCACUGGACUGCAACUGACACUGAGGCUCGAAAGUGUGGGUAUCAAACAGGAUUAGAUACCCUUGUAGUC